CACGUAGGGUGCGAGCGUUGUCCGGAAUUAUUGGGCGUAAAGAGCUCGUAGGCGGCUUGUCGCGUCGACUGUGAAAACUCGGGGCUCAACCCCGAGCCUGCAGUCGAUACGGGCAGACUAGAGUGCGGUAGGGGAGACUGGAAUUCCUGGUGUAGCGGUGAAAUGCGCAGAUAUCAGGAGGAACACCGGUGGCGAAGGCGGGUCUCUGGGCCGUAACUGACGCUGAGGAGCGAAAGCGUGGGGAGCAAACAGG
RNAcentral lists this ribosomal RNA (253 nucleotides) under uncultured bacterium. RNAcentral's name for it is "partial 16S ribosomal RNA". It matches the Rfam family "Bacterial small subunit ribosomal RNA", at positions 524 to 776 of the family's 1533-position model. The record is from RNAcentral.